UACGUAGGGGGCAAGCGUUGUCCGGAAUCAUUGGGCGUAAAGCGCGUGUAGGCGGCUCGGUAAGUCCGCUCUGAAAGUCCAGGGCUCAACCCUGGGAUGCGGGUGGAUACUGCCGGGCUCGAGUCCGGAAGAGGCGAGUGGAAUUCCUGGUGUAGCGGUGAAAUGCGUAGAGAUCAGGAAGAACAUCGGUGGCGAAGGCGCUCUGCUGGACCAUAAAUGACAAUCAGGGACGAAAGCUAGGGAGCGAAUGGG
Molecule: ribosomal RNA, 252 nt
Filed under: uncultured bacterium
Lineage: Bacteria
Description: partial 16S ribosomal RNA
Rfam family: Bacterial small subunit ribosomal RNA
Source: RNAcentral